RNAcentral lists this transfer RNA (87 nucleotides) under Calidithermus terrae. RNAcentral describes it as "Meiothermus terrae tRNA-Leu". It matches the Rfam family "tRNA". From Rfam's summary of the family: Transfer RNA (tRNA) molecules are approximately 80 nucleotides in length. Their secondary structure includes four short double-helical elements and three loops (D, anti-codon, and T loops). Lineage: Bacteria; Thermotogati; Deinococcota; Deinococci; Thermales; Thermaceae. RNAcentral also lists the same sequence under 4 other names. The record is from RNAcentral.
GCCGGGAUGGCGGAAUUGGUAGACGCGCAUGAUUCAGGGUCAUGUGCCCGCAAGGGUGUGCAGGUUCAAGUCCUGUUCCCGGCACCA